Molecule: unclassified non-coding RNA, 226 nt
Filed under: Hevea brasiliensis (rubber tree)
Lineage: Eukaryota; Viridiplantae; Streptophyta; Magnoliopsida; Malpighiales; Euphorbiaceae
Source: RNAcentral
GUCAGCUUGGCGUUCAGCAUCCUGUCAAGAAUAGGCGAUAUCCUGCAAGAAGACGGUCUGAAGAAUCCGACCACGUCCAUCGCAACCCUCAAGUUCGACUUCUCCUCGGACGUCUAUCUUGCUGGCAUCACCGAGACACCUCCUGGCAACAUCAAGCGCUCGCUCAUCGAUCAGAUGAACGAGGCCGAUGGACGCCUUUGCAACUCGAGACCAAGCAAAGAUAGCG